CGACCGCUGGCGGCAUGCCUACCACAUGCAAGUCGACCGAGACCUUCGGGUCUAGUGGCGCCCGGGUGCGUACCGCGUGGGAACCUGCCCUUAGGUUCGGAAUAACUCCCCGAAAGGGGUGCUAAUACCGGAUAAUGUCUUCGGACCAAAGAUUUAUCGCCUUUGGAUGGGCCCGCGUUGGAUUAGCUAGUUGGUAGGGUAAAAGCCUACCAAGGCGACGAUCCAUAGCUGGUCUGAGAGGAUGAUCAGCCACACUGGGACUGAGACACGGCCCAGACUCCUACGGGAGGCAGCAGUGGGGAAUAUUGGACAAUGGGCGAAAGCCUGAUCCAGCAAUGCCGCGUGAGUGAUGAAGGCCUUAGGGUUGUAAAGCUCUUUUACCCGGGAUGAUAAUGACAGUACCGGGAGAAUAAGCUCCGGCUAACUCCGUG
Molecule: ribosomal RNA, 431 nt
Filed under: uncultured bacterium
Lineage: Bacteria
Description: partial 16S ribosomal RNA
Rfam family: Bacterial small subunit ribosomal RNA
Source: RNAcentral